This 479-nucleotide ribosomal RNA is filed under the name uncultured organism. Its description in RNAcentral is "partial 16S ribosomal RNA". It matches the Rfam family "Bacterial small subunit ribosomal RNA", at positions 329 to 799 of the family's 1533-position model. The record is from RNAcentral.
ACGUACACUCCUACGGGAGGCAGCAGUGGGGAAUAUUGCACAAUGGGCGCAAGCCUGAUGCAGCCAUGCCGCGUGUAUGAAGAAGGCCUUCGGGUUGUAAAGUACUUUCAGCGGGGAGGAAGGCGAUAAGGUUAAUAACCUUGUUGAUUGACGUUACCCGCAGAAGAAGCACCGGCUAACUCCGUGCCAGCAGCCGCGGUAAUACGGAGGGUGCAAGCGUUAAUCGGAAUUACUGGGCGUAAAGCGCACGCAGGCGGUCUGUCAAGUCGGAUGUGAAAUCCCCGGGCUCAACCUGGGAACUGCAUUCGAAACUGGCAGGCUAGAGUCUUGUAGAGGGGGGUAGAAUUCCAGGUGUAGCGGUGAAAUGCGUAGAGAUCUGGAGGAAUACCGGUGGCGAAGGCGGCCCCCUGGACAAAGACUGACGCUCAGGUGCGAAAGCGUGGGGAGCAAACAGGAUUAGAAACCCGUGUAGUCCCAUG